AGCUUUGCGCAGUGGCAGUAUCGUAGCCAAUGAGGUUUAUCCAAGGCGCGAUUACUGCUAAUUGAAAACUUAAAUUUAAUCUAACUGCAGUUUCCUUCUGAUUUCAUGAAAU
Molecule: small nuclear RNA, 112 nt
Filed under: Neogale vison (American mink)
Lineage: Eukaryota; Metazoa; Chordata; Mammalia; Carnivora; Mustelidae
Description: Neovison vison (American mink) U4 spliceosomal RNA (ENSNVIG00000017393.1)
Rfam family: U4 spliceosomal RNA
About the family: U4 small nuclear RNA (U4 snRNA) is a component of the major U2-dependent spliceosome. The structure of U4 snRNA from yeast and human has been reported.
Source: RNAcentral